Molecule: long non-coding RNA, 849 nt
Filed under: Anser brachyrhynchus (Pink-footed goose)
Lineage: Eukaryota; Metazoa; Chordata; Aves; Anseriformes; Anatidae
Description: lncRNA (ENSABRG00000019891.1)
Source: RNAcentral
GUCACAAGCGACUCCUCCAUAAGGCAAGCACUGCAUUUCAUGGGCUUUAACAUUAGCAUAUGCUCACAAUUCACUGUCAUUCAAACAAAUUUUUUUUCAUGAAAGGAACCAUUACAAGGAACGUUCAGAUUUUUCAAGCUUUUGUGGGAUGGAAGAAACACUUUCUGCAGUGUGCCUACCUACUCUUGAGUUCAAGGACUCCAGUUGCAAAACUUCCUGAUAAUCUUUCUGACUUAGCAGACCUUGGGAAGGAUUGGAUUUCUUUCAUUUUUGCAACUUUUAAGUACUUCAUAAGAAUAGUACUACCCAUCCUCCUGCUGCUUUAGUCUAUCAGAUGAACUGAGAGCUCUCAGAAGCUACUGUAGUAGUGCUAGAGCAAUUUCUUUUCUAACCCUGAGGCAACUACUGCUUCUCAUCUCCAUUUUUCCAUCUUGCAAAAGAGAUGAGAUAGAAAAAGGCAUCAUGGGUUUCAGGUGAUAAGAGUAAGUAAUUGUUACCUGAUAAAAUAACACUCACAGCCUGCCAGUGCUGGUUAGAGGCCAAGAAAGAGAUAAUCUUACAGCUCUUUUUGGCUGGGAAUGCCCUGCUGCUACUUCCUAUACACGUUUUCAUCAGAGAUGCAUCCAAAGUGUUGCCAUUCAAGUGUAAAAUCAGACCCACAAAACCUCAGUCACAGCGUGAACAUAAGUUCAGGAGGCCCUGAAGUACUUCAGAAUACCAUUGAUUCAUCCAGUGAAAAAUCAAAAGAAAGAUAACAUCUGACAGGAAUAGAUUCCCAACACCACAUGAAAUUAUAUUUUGACCACAGACACAUAAAAAAUAAUAAAUUGAUUCAAAUAAUUUAAAGCA